GACGUCAUGAGUGACGUUUUCGCCGCGACCACAACGACCGCGGUUGUUAUGUGGAACGACUAAAGGAGCAUUUUGAUCGUUGUGAGCGCUUAGUGGAACGCACCGCAAAAAGGUCUUGUACAAAAUAUAUAACAAACUUAACAAAAUCUUAAAGAGUAAAAAGGAAGUAGUGACUAGUUUCACGUCUUUGUUUACUGCUCGUGAGUACGCGUGUGUCUAGCUCGGUGGUUGGAACGGAAGAGAGCGAAUAGCAGCGGUUGUUCAAAUGCGUGGUGUUUUUUUAGUUCUUUUGUUUCGCCACUAGGGGCGUGACGGUAAGAGUGCCGGAGGCGCCAAGCUUUGGCGUGACGGCCACAAGAACUAUUUAUUUCAUUUGUUCAUUUAUAAAAUCACAUGUACUUAAAUCUGAACUCCUGAAUACCACCGCCGCCCUCAUAGAGAAUUAUCGUACUUGCUAUUUCCCCAUUUUCAACAACACAAAUUCGACAAAAACGCAUAUCUCGAUCGUCCUCCUUGUAUAUAGCUUCGUUCACAAAACCAUUAUCGAGAACCUAUUAUACUGCCGAAUGUUAAAGAAAUUCUAGAAGAACGUUUACGUUGUAAUAAAAAUAUAAGUUUUAGCGAGAUUUAUAAUAAACUUGAUCCAAUCCUUGGCACUGCCGAUGGCUUUUCAUAUGGAAGUAACAAGCGCAUGCAUUUGCAAAGAAAGAAGGGUUUAUGGAAACCAGUUGGACCUACAGAUAUGUAUAGAAUACCAAUAACAAUAGCCCAAGAGAUUGGAUUUUGGACAGAGGAUUCUUUAUUAUCCCAAGCAAAUUGGAUAAAGUCGACAAUAAAUUAUGGCAGAAGAAACAGCGACAUGACUAAGUAUAUUGCACACGUCAUAUCUUUACAUGUAUGCAUAAUAUGUAUUUUACUUUCCAGUACAUUUCACAAACUAAGACUCGCCGAUUCAUUGGUAGCUCUUUAGAGAAAUUCAUUUGAUUGUCAAAACAAUCCUUUUCAACUUGCAAAAUAAUGAAAUUAAUAUUGAAAUAUCUAAUAAUAUAAUUACAAAUUUUUUCUUUGAUUCAAAUCCUACGUAAUAAAAUAAGGCAUAAUAUAGUUUGUUAUAUAAGAGAUAUUUAAAAGAGUUUUGAUUAGUGUUUGAGUGAAUCGAAAGAAUAAAUGAAUACAAUAAAUAAUAGCUUAAAAUUGUUAUAAGAAGA
RNAcentral lists this unclassified non-coding RNA (1208 nucleotides) under Polistes canadensis. Its description in RNAcentral is "uncharacterized LOC106788965, transcript variant X2". The record is from RNAcentral. Lineage: Eukaryota; Metazoa; Arthropoda; Insecta; Hymenoptera; Vespidae.